UUCACAGCCCUAGAGACAGAAGUCCUCUGUUUCACCACAGAGCAGGUACAGCAUAGGCAACGGCAGUGCAAGAUUCUUCACACGUGUGCCUCAAAUUUAAUGUAUAGGCACUACCCCAAGGGAUAUGAGUAGGACACUUUUCAUCACAUGGCCUUGGGGUUGAAGGCGCUGCUUGUGAUAAGUUUGUAUCAUAAUGAAUU
Unclassified non-coding RNA from Chrysemys picta bellii (western painted turtle), 200 nucleotides. The record is from Ensembl. NCBI's taxonomy places the organism in Eukaryota, Metazoa, Chordata, Testudines, Emydidae.